ACACUUGUUCAUCUAUAUUACUUAUUUACUUCUGUGUGUUGAGCCCAAAUCUGCCAACAUGUGACUUCCAUCCUUUGAUCUCAUUUUCUGGGAGCAACACAAAAAAAAUGUGGCUUCCUUGAAAGUUCUUCAUGUAUUUAAAGAUCACUCUCAAGCCUGCAGUCAACCUGGAGUAGGCAGAUGAAGCAGCUGGGGAAAAGACCUCUUGACCUACCAACAAACAGUCACUGACACUGUCAAGUUCAGAGGUGGUGAGAGACACAGAUUGCAGGUAUCUUUGUAAGUUCCAAUUCGUCCCCCACACCAGGUUCAGCUUGUCUUUACUCUCCCCUGAGUCACUUCGAGUUUGGUUCUACUGAUCUACAGGAAGCUUCUUCCCACCACUGAAUUCAAGGGACAGUCUUCCCAUAUGUCUUUACCAGCUCUCGCAAAUGACAGAAGUUUGAAGCAAUAUUCAGGAGUCAGGCCUUGAUGGAUUUGAAACUAAAACUAUUUUUUUAUUUCUAACUUCUCUACAUGGAAAAAGACUCUCAAAAGACAGAGCCUGUCUAUGUCAUUCAGACUGGCCUCAAACUCCAGGGCUCAACAAAGCCUCCUGCCUCAACUUCCCCAGUAGCUGGGACUACAGCCCUGGUCUUGGCUGUUACAUAGUGGGAUAGCUCGAUGUGCAUACAGCGUGGUUGGCAGUAGAAAGAUCAAUAGAGGAGUUUAUAGGGUUUACGAAGACCUGGAUUCUAAUCCUGCCUCAGCUAUUUAUGAGGAAUGGCUUCAAAUGUUCAGUGGAAGUGAACAAGUUCUUGUAUUGUUUUCUCCUAUUCUCCUUCCAGCUUCAGGGUCAUAUGUCACAGCGCUGGGCAUUUCAUUUGGGUAUCUAUCAUCAUUCCCAUUCUGCAAUGAGGAAAUGCUGUCAGAGUGAUUAAGUAAUUUGCCCAUGGUCUCACAUAGAAGCCUGUCUUCUCCAGGGAACACAGCACUCAGAAUCGUCUCGGCCCCUGCAUAAGCCUGCAUGAGCCUGGGCUCUGGGGACCCAUCCUGGUGCAUCAUUCGUUGGCUCUGUGACAAUGGGCACAUCGUUUAACCUCUCUUGGCUUCAUUCUCCUUACUGGAAUGAUGGAGAGAGUUUUGCCUAUUUCAGAGGCUUGCUCUUCUAUACGUGAGCCUAUAAGUAACUUGUCUUAAGAAUUUCCACUCCUUCUGUACUCUGAUUUAAAUUUGAAGGCAUCAAAACAAAAACAAUCAA
This is a long non-coding RNA of Homo sapiens (human), 1240 nucleotides long. Ensembl annotates it as long intergenic non-protein coding RNA 2866. The record is from Ensembl. NCBI's taxonomy places the organism in Eukaryota, Metazoa, Chordata, Mammalia, Primates, Hominidae.